UUGUACACACCGCCCGUCACACCAUGAGAGUCUGUAACGCCCGAAGCCGGCGGGAUAACCGAAAGAGUCAGCCGUCUAAGGCGGACAGAUGAUUAGGGUGAAGUCGUAACAAGGUAGCCGUAGAGAACCUGCGCUGGAUCACCUCCUUUCUAAGG
Molecule: ribosomal RNA, 155 nt
Filed under: chlamydia-associated clinical sample 846-G
Lineage: Bacteria
Description: partial 16S ribosomal RNA
Rfam family: Bacterial small subunit ribosomal RNA
Source: RNAcentral